UUCAGCUACGGCGACAUGGUGCCAAAAACCAUCGUGGGGAAGGUGUUUGGAUCCAUAUGCUCCCUGAGCGGGGUGCUGGUCAUCGCCCUGCCCGUCCCUGUGAUAGUGUCGAAC
Non-coding RNA from Takifugu rubripes (torafugu), 114 nucleotides. The record is from Rfam. Lineage: Eukaryota; Metazoa; Chordata; Actinopteri; Tetraodontiformes; Tetraodontidae.